This 72-nucleotide transfer RNA is filed under the name Candidatus Staskawiczbacteria bacterium RIFOXYA2_FULL_32_7. RNAcentral's name for it is "tRNA-Arg". It matches the Rfam family "tRNA". Rfam says of the family: Transfer RNA (tRNA) molecules are approximately 80 nucleotides in length. Their secondary structure includes four short double-helical elements and three loops (D, anti-codon, and T loops). RNAcentral also lists the same sequence under 2 other names. The record is from RNAcentral. Lineage: Bacteria; Candidatus Staskawicziibacteriota.
GCUCCUGUAGUUCAACGGAUAGAACAGUCCCGUCCUAAGGGAUAGAUGAGGGUUCAAUUCCUUCCGGGAGCA